This 65-nucleotide transfer RNA is filed under the name Idiosepius hallami. RNAcentral's name for it is "tRNA-Gly". Lineage: Eukaryota; Metazoa; Mollusca; Cephalopoda; Idiosepiidae. The record is from RNAcentral.
AUUUUAUUAGUAUAAUUAGUAUAUUUGUUUUCCAAACAAAUGGUUUAGUAUCUCUAAAUAAAAUA